GGUGAUUGUCUAUGUUAUGUUGCUUGUUAGCACAGUGUUUCAUUAGUGCCACGGUUGUCACGUUGGUUUGUUUUUUCGAACACUUACCACGCCGCAUCUGGGUCCGAUCCUUACUCCUCUUCAGACGAAGAGGAGGACAUCUGCCGUGACACGCCUUUGAAAUGACUGGCAUUUGGGGGAGCAAGAAAUGCAAACUUAAAUUUGGUUGGAUUAUUCUCAUAAUAUGAUAAUAUUAUAUGUUAAUUUUGACAGAUUUUGAUAUCAAGCAACUGUAUCCUUGCUCUUUUAAAUGUCAGAUUGAUCCAAUGAUGUACAAGUACAUCAUCAAUGAACACAACCACUGGACUGUGACGGUUGUGCUGCCAUCUCAAGAGGGCUCUGUUUCUCGACCCAAUGGGGGAAAGGGCCAGAAAGAUACAAAGAUGCCAGGAGUUGACAAGAUCAUUCCUGAGAGAGAAGGGGUGUAAUAUCUCCAGAUGGGCGUGUGGUACCCUUCCUCACCCAUGCCAACAAGAUGUUACUUCUUGUGGGGUCUCUGCCUUGAAAACAAUGACCCAACACACCUCCAGGCUGUGUAAGGACUAUUUGACCAAGAAGGAUGGCGUGAUGGCGUGCUGCAUCAGAUGACCUGGCCUCCACAGCUGGUUGAGAGAAGGCCAAGAGUGUGCAAAGCUGUUCCAAGGCAAAGGGUGGCUACUUUGAAGAACCUCAAGUAUAAAAUAUAUUUUGAUUUGUUUAACCCUUUUUUGGUUACUACAUAAUUCCAUGUGUUAUUUCAUUGUUUUGAUGUCUUUACUAUUAUUCGACAGUGUAGAAAAUAGAUUAUUUAAAAAAAUCCUUGAAUGAGUAGGUGUGUCCAAAUGUUUUACUAGUACUGUAUUUAAAUGUAUCAGGGGGUAGCGCAGCACCCUUCACGGAGCUAUGAUUAUACUUGGAAAACUAAUGGCCAUAUUAAAUUGUUAAAACAAAGAAAUAAAGUGCAACGCUGGAGAGAUGAGGGUUGUAGGCUCCUGUCUAUCAGAGCAGAGAGGGGGAGAGAUGAGGGUUGUAGGCUCCUGUCUAUCAGAGCAGAGAGGGGGAGAGAUGAGAGUUGUAGGCUCCUGUCUAUCAGAGCAGAGAGGGGGAGAGAUGAG
This is a long non-coding RNA of Oncorhynchus tshawytscha (Chinook salmon), 1133 nucleotides long. Lineage: Eukaryota; Metazoa; Chordata; Actinopteri; Salmoniformes; Salmonidae. The record is from Ensembl.